UACGUAGGGGGCUAGCGUUGUCCGGAAUCAUUGGGCGUAAAGAGCGUGUAGGCGGUCCGGUAAGUCCGCUGUGAAAGUCGGGGGCUCAACCCUCGAAUGCCGGUGGAUACUGUCGGGCUAGAGUGCGGAAGAGGCGAGUGGAAUUCCUGGUGUAGCGGUGAAAUGCGCAGAUAUCAGGAGGAACACCUAUUGCGAAGGCAGCUCGCUGGGACGUUACUGACGCUGAGGCACGAAAGCGUGGGGAGCAAACAGG
RNAcentral lists this ribosomal RNA (253 nucleotides) under uncultured bacterium. Its description in RNAcentral is "partial 16S ribosomal RNA". It matches the Rfam family "Bacterial small subunit ribosomal RNA", at positions 524 to 776 of the family's 1533-position model. The record is from RNAcentral.